AUGACCCUUGCGGUUUUGAUCCUACCUACACCUGGAGUCAAUCCCCUAACGGUCCUGCCACCAUGCCCCAGAACAUGAGCUCGUAUGGAACCUUGGAUUUCUGGCGUAAUGGUGGUGAAUGGUAUCAAAAUAUUACUGUUGCAUAACAUAGUAUAUACACUAAGGUUGGCCAAAAUAUGGACACCCGAAGGGCCCGACACGCACAAUUUAAUCCUAUCCGAGCCCGUCAUUGCAUGCACUUCAGACAACUGUCUGUAG
Molecule: ribosomal RNA, 258 nt
Filed under: Triticum aestivum (bread wheat)
Lineage: Eukaryota; Viridiplantae; Streptophyta; Magnoliopsida; Poales; Poaceae
Description: partial small subunit ribosomal RNA
Source: RNAcentral